RNAcentral lists this RNase P RNA (386 nucleotides) under Bacteroidales bacterium. RNAcentral describes it as "RNase P RNA component class A". It matches the Rfam family "Bacterial RNase P class A". Rfam says of the family: Ribonuclease P (RNase P) is a ubiquitous endoribonuclease, found in archaea, bacteria and eukarya as well as chloroplasts and mitochondria. Its best characterised activity is the generation of mature 5'-ends of tRNAs by cleaving the 5'-leader elements of precursor-tRNAs. The record is from RNAcentral. Lineage: Bacteria; Pseudomonadati; Bacteroidota; Bacteroidia; Bacteroidales.
AUAGUCAGCCGUUCUAUCGCUCCGUGAAAUAUCGGGGAGGAAAGUCCGGGCAGCGCAGGACACCAUACUUCCUAACGGGAAGAUGCUCGUGAGGGCAUAGUAAUGGAACAGAAAAUAACCGCCACGCUUGCGUGGUAAGGGUGAAAAGGUGAGGUAAGAGCUCACCGGGUUCUGUAGCGAUACAGAAUGCCGUGCAUCUUAUGGGCUGCAAGACCGUGUAUAUUCCGAGUGCCAGUUUUCUGGCUAUAAGGUUGUCCGCCUUGUUGACGAGCAAUCGUCCGUCGGAAGGGGUAGGUCGCAGGAGGUUAUGGGUAACCAUAAUCCAAGAUAAAUGAUAGGAGCGAACUUUGUUCGAACAAAACCCGGCUUACAGGCUGACUAGAUUA